AGCACCAUCCUUGACCCAACUUCAAAAGCGGAGCCAAUCAGUUGCAGGAUGAAUAUGGAGCCUGGCACGGGAGAGCACCUGGGAAAUAUCGGCCAGGUGCUGGGCAGGCAGACUCUGCCUUGACAGCAUACAUCAGAGGAGCACAGG
Vicugna pacos (alpaca) is the source of this 147-nucleotide non-coding RNA. Lineage: Eukaryota; Metazoa; Chordata; Mammalia; Artiodactyla; Camelidae. The record is from RefSeq and is a predicted model, not a curated record.